GGUGCAAAGGGUCCAGUAUUCGAUUCCUUGCUGCCUUGAUUUUGUUUAUUUUUUUCUCACCAAUUGGGCCUCUGGGCCGAUUUUGAGCACGCAUGGACUUCCCAUAUGCACUUUUAAGCCGGUUCUGAGCGCCUUGGAGCGUAAUCAGUGGAAUCAGAAUAACUACAUCGAUCAAAAUUAGUAGGUGCUUUUGUUUUGAAACAUGGUCAUAAAAUUUAUGUGUUGCUCAAAAAUUCGCGUCAAUUUUGGUUAAUUUAGUUAUAACCGAAACCGAACCGAAACUAAAUGAUUAUAACCGAAACCGAGCCGU
This 310-nucleotide long non-coding RNA is filed under the name Brachypodium distachyon (stiff brome). RNAcentral's name for it is "long non-coding RNA (BDIS_LNC000473)". Lineage: Eukaryota; Viridiplantae; Streptophyta; Magnoliopsida; Poales; Poaceae. The record is from RNAcentral.